CAGCCACCCGCGGUCAUACAAGAAACCCAAAUUAACGGUCCACGGCGUAAAGAGUGGUACCACACAUAUCAAAUGGCAACUAAGACCAAAAUGCAACUAAGCUGUCAUAAGCCUACGAUGCACAUAAGACCGCCCUCAAUACGAUCUUAGCCCUAUGAUCAACCCAACUCCACGAAAGCCAAGACACAAACUGGGAUUAGAUACCCCACUAUGCUUGGCCUUAAAUCUAGAUGUUUCUCCUACCAAAACAUCCGCCUGGGAACUACGAGCACAAACGCUUAAAACUCUAAGGACUUGGCGGUGCCCCAAACCCACCUAGAGGAGCCUGUUCUAUAAUCGAUAACCCACGUUACACCCGGCCGCUCCUUGCCAAACACAGCCUAUAUACCGCCGUCGCCAGCUCACCUCUGCUGAGAGUAUUAGAGUGAGCUUAAUAGCCCUCACCCGCUAACAAGACAGGUCGAGGUAUAGCUACGGAGAGGAAGAAAUGGGCUACAUUUUCUAAAAUAGAACACUCACGAAAGGGGGUGUGAAAUCACCCCUAGAAGGCGGAUUUAGCAGUAAAGCGAGACAAUAAUGCCCGCUUUAAGUCGGCUCUGGGGCACGUACAUACCGCCCGUCACCCUCCUCAAAAGCUCUAAAUCUCUAUAAAUUAAUAAGCCCAUCAGCUGAAGAUGAGGUAAGUCGUAACAAGGUAAGUGUACCGGAAGGUGUACUUAGCACAU
Molecule: ribosomal RNA, 725 nt
Filed under: Jacana jacana (wattled jacana)
Lineage: Eukaryota; Metazoa; Chordata; Aves; Charadriiformes; Jacanidae
Description: partial 12S ribosomal RNA
Rfam family: Bacterial small subunit ribosomal RNA
Source: RNAcentral